Molecule: long non-coding RNA, 459 nt
Filed under: Pongo abelii (Sumatran orangutan)
Lineage: Eukaryota; Metazoa; Chordata; Mammalia; Primates; Hominidae
Description: lincRNA
Source: RNAcentral
GAAACAAUUGAUCUUGAUGGAACAAUCUUGUUUUUAUAUAAAAUUUCAAGCUGGUGAUGACAUGUAUGAAAGGAAAAGUGCUGCAAGCAGUAAAUGCUGUUGAGUUUGCAUUCCAUUACAUCAGCAUAUCUAAAUGAUCCUCUUUAGCCCAGUAGUUCAAUAGGAUGUUGGAAAAGAAGACUUCCACUCUAAUGGAUGAAAAAAUGAUCAUCUGUUUACAUCAUUCUGAUUUCUUUUAAUUGCUUCACAGGCCACUAUAAAGAUUUGCUCUCACCCUAAUAUUUAAAAUUUUCUACUUUUUUUCCCACUUUUCUCUCACAUAAAUUAGGUGUUUCAUUCUUUUUCCUCCUUAUUAUUUUAUUUACAACAUUCUGUGUUGAGCACAGAAAGGGGAAGUGUAUAGCCCUGUUCUCUGUUUUUAAUGCUCUGUAUAUUUUUGCUUCCUUUCCUUUGGAAUCA